Molecule: ribosomal RNA, 497 nt
Filed under: uncultured bacterium
Lineage: Bacteria
Description: partial 16S ribosomal RNA
Rfam family: Bacterial small subunit ribosomal RNA
Source: RNAcentral
GACGAACGCUGGCGGCGUGCCUAAUACAUGCAAGUUGAGCGAUGAAGAUUGGUGCUUGCACCAAUUUGAAGAGCAGCGAACGGGUGAGUAACGCGUGGGGAAUCUGCCUUUGAGCGGGGGACAACAUUUGGAAACGAAUGCUAAUACCGCAUAACAACUUUAAACAUAAGUUUUAAGUUUGAAAGAUGCAAUUGCAUCACUCAAAGAUGAUCCCGCGUUGUAUUAGCUAGUUGGUGAGGUAAAGGCUCACCAAGGCGAUGAUACAUAGCCGACCUGAGAGGGUGAUCGGCCACAUUGGGACUGAGACACGGCCCAAACUCCUACGGGAGGCAGCAGUAGGGAAUCUUCGGCAAUGGACGAAAGUCUGACCGAGCAACGCCGCGGGAGGGAAGAAGGGUUUCGGAUCGUAAAACUCUGUUGGUAGAGAAGAACGUUGGUGAGAGUGGAAAGCUCAUCAAGUGACGGUAACUACCCAGAAAGGGACGGCUAACUACGUG